This 474-nucleotide ribosomal RNA is filed under the name uncultured Actinomycetes bacterium. RNAcentral describes it as "bacterial SSU rRNA". It matches the Rfam family "Bacterial small subunit ribosomal RNA", at positions 351 to 839 of the family's 1533-position model. Lineage: Bacteria; Bacillati; Actinomycetota; Actinomycetes. The record is from RNAcentral.
GCAGCAGGGAAUCUUGCGCAAUGGGCGAAAGCCUGACGCAGCGACGCCGCGUGGGGGAUGAAGGCCUUAGGGUUGUAAACCCCUUUCACGAGGGAAGAAACUGACGGUACCUCGAGAAGAAGCCCCGGCUAAUUACGUGCCAGCAGCCGCGGUAAUACGUAGGGGGCGAGCGUUGUCCGGAUUUAUUGGGCGUAAAGGGCUCGUAGGCGGCUUGACAAGUCGGCCGUGAAAACCCAGGGCUCAACCCUGGGACGCCGGCCGAUACUGUCAUGGCUAGGGUCCGGUAGAGGGGAAUGGAAUUCCCGGUGUAGCGGUGAAAUGCGCAGAUAUCGGGAGGAACACCAUUAGCGAAGGCGGUUCCCUGGGCCGGCACCGACGCUGAGGAGCGAAAGCGUGGGGAGCAAACAGGAUUAGAUACCCUGGUAGUCCACGCCGUAAACGUUGGGUACUAGGCGUGGCGUCUUAUCAACGGAU